CACGUAGGGCGCAAGCGUUGUCCGGAAUUAUUGGGCGUAAAGAGCUCGUAGGCGGUGUGUCACGUCGGCCGUGAAAACCUGCAGCUUAACUGUGGGCGUGCGGUCGAUACGGGCAUCACUGGAGUUCGGCAGGGGAGACUGGAAUUCCUGGUGUAGCGGUGAAAUGCGCAGAUAUCAGGAGGAACACCGGUGGCGAAGGCGGGUCUCUGGGCCGAUACUGACGCUGAGGAGCGAAAGCGUGGGGAGCGAACAGG
RNAcentral lists this ribosomal RNA (254 nucleotides) under uncultured bacterium. RNAcentral describes it as "partial 16S ribosomal RNA". It matches the Rfam family "Bacterial small subunit ribosomal RNA", at positions 524 to 776 of the family's 1533-position model. The record is from RNAcentral.